Molecule: long non-coding RNA, 750 nt
Organism: Quercus robur (English oak)
Lineage: Eukaryota; Viridiplantae; Streptophyta; Magnoliopsida; Fagales; Fagaceae
Exons: 3
Source: RefSeq, a predicted model, not a curated record
AAACAUUCGGUCCGGGCGUGGCGUAAAACUAGUGUUUUACGCCACGCCAAUGAGAGCUCGCCACGUCAAAAAAUCUCCACACAGCAACAAAAAAAAAAGAGUCUCCCACAGAAAACCCUUCACGCACGCACAGAGCUUCCUUCAAACCUCCUUCACGCUCACAAAGAACCUCCUUCACGCCGAACCUCCACAACCUGCUCGCACGCUCGCCGGUUCACGCCAUUUGCUCUGCUUCCUCUCUUCCUUCACGCCGAACCUCCACCACCGCCACACAGAUCGCCAGAGCAGAACGAUUUCGAAGAAGAAGAGUUCGCCGGAGCUUGGAAACAAACCUGAGCCGCCGUGAGCCACGAUCCAAAGGACUCUUUGCCAAGUGUGACAUAUCCUUCUACAUCAUCAUUUACUAUGCAUAUAUAUCAUAACCAGUCAUCAUUUAUGGAUCCAUUACAACAAUUCCAAGAAAGUUGAUGUACAAACAAGUUUUGUGUCCAAGAGAAUGGAUUGGGAAGCAAAUAUUUUUUGGUUAUAUAAUGUGUAAAUUGUGGUGGAUAGACAUAGAACCAUCUUCUUUUUUUGUAUUUCCAACGUAGGGUCAUCUUUUUUUGUACAUUGAACUAUGACAUAUUUUAUUCUAGAUGAAUGUGUUCUCAAUUAGAAAUUUCCCAAAAGAAUUGUGACAUUUUAUUUCAAGAUGUAUGGUCAAUCAUAUGAUCUUUUAUGAAUUGAACUGUGACAGGUUUUAUUUCAGGU